AUGUUUGGUUGCAACAAUGUCAUUUCUUCACAUAUUUCAUGUUCCAUUGAUUACUACAUGAUUGACUUUAUCGCCUCACACAUGAUGAACAAUUGCUCUUUCUAUUGUGUUGAGUGCCACACUAUAUUCACUACGCCCUAUGCACGUUAUGCUUGGGUUGUCUUGCACUUGACCCAUGUGUUUAGACACUUCAUUUUAUUUGGUUUUGUGAAUGAUUCUUAUGCCUACCAUAGACCUUUCAUUGAACGCUUUGUGAAUGCUUGCUAUGAACUUGAGGUAGAUGCUUAUUCUCUUAUCACACAUAUUUGCAUCUCUACCUCACAUUUACAUGUUUGUUUCCAUGAUGACCUUGAUUUUGCUCAAUUCAUAUGCUUAAAUGUCAUGACACAAUCCUUUGUCAAACCAUAUGUUAUGCUUGAUGACAACACUUGUUGGGUGAAUCACCUCUCGAAUGCUUGGUUUUGCUCUAACGCCAACCUUACUUGUUUUUCCAAGUGCUUGUUAUGCUUGCUCCUUUUUACGGAACCACAAGACGGUGCGACUUUCGAGAGUGUCCAUUUCGAGCUACAAGAUGAUGAAUGCUUGGUGAUCGUCAACUUCUACACGGCGAUAUCAUCUCUUUCCCAUGGUGAUUUGGAUUUCGAUUCGAGGUCAGAUCUUUCCCAAGGGGGAGGGGAUGAUGCGGAGCAUCCUACGGGCAUCACCAUGUCAAGAGUCCGUUUGGCAAGUGACACGCACGACCUCUACUUCUCAUACGUAAAGGUGAAUCUUCUCCUUUACACGUGUUCACUUGACCCCUUCGAGGAUGGUAUACUACUUGACACUCCACUCGUGUGCAUGCAUAGGUAUUGCCAGAACUUUGCGGACAACAAGGAGGAGUGCAAGCGCCAAGGAACGCCUACACCAUCCGCGAGGGAAGCGUGGAAGCGAAAGCGGAAGAAGAAGGAUCUACCCAGCCCAGAAGGACCGGAACAACCGCCCAACUACCGGCGGAACAACCGGCCGACUACUGCCCAACAACCGGCCCACCUUCUAUGA
Molecule: ribosomal RNA, 1038 nt
Filed under: Triticum aestivum (bread wheat)
Lineage: Eukaryota; Viridiplantae; Streptophyta; Magnoliopsida; Poales; Poaceae
Description: partial small subunit ribosomal RNA
Source: RNAcentral